Molecule: non-coding RNA, 91 nt
Organism: Mycena polygramma
Lineage: Eukaryota; Fungi; Basidiomycota; Agaricomycetes; Agaricales; Mycenaceae
Source: the annotation of a GenBank genome assembly
GGCCUGGUGGCGUAGCUGGUAACGCGUCGUCCCAAAGUACCUUCUUGCACCCUUGAAGGCGAAGUCCCUCGUUCGAUUCGGGGCCCGGCCC